UGCUGCCUGGUAAGAGCUGUGA
This 22-nucleotide microRNA is filed under the name Echinococcus granulosus. RNAcentral's name for it is "egr-miR-745-3p". Its record names the gene egr-miR-745-3p. The record is from miRBase by way of RNAcentral. Lineage: Eukaryota; Metazoa; Platyhelminthes; Cestoda; Cyclophyllidea; Taeniidae. RNAcentral also lists the same sequence under 1 other name.